UCUUCCUACGGGAGGCAGCAGUGGGGGAUAUUGCUCAAUGGGGGAAACCCUGAAGCAGCAACGCCGCGUGGAGGAUGAAGGUUUUCGGAUUGUAAACUCCUUUUGUUAGAGAAGAUAAUGACGGUAUCUAACGAAUAAGCACCGGCUAACUCCGUGCCAGCAGCCGCGGUAAUACGGAGGGUGCAAGCGUUACUCGGAAUCACUGGGCGUAAAGAGCACGUAGGCGGGAUAGCAAGUCAGAUGUGAAAUCCUAUGGCUUAAC
This 262-nucleotide ribosomal RNA is filed under the name uncultured bacterium. Its description in RNAcentral is "partial 16S ribosomal RNA". It matches the Rfam family "Bacterial small subunit ribosomal RNA", at positions 334 to 613 of the family's 1533-position model. The record is from RNAcentral.